AAACAAGAGCUCAAGGAUGGUGGCUGGGGUUCAGUCUGCCGCUGCAAAUACCAAAAGCUGUCCUCAUUGAGUCAUCCCUCCCAGAGCAGGAAGAGCAGAGAUAAAACAGCAUGUAAGCAUCUCUGCAGUUGCUGUCCCCAGAGCCCACUUCCUGGAUAUUGCCAGCUGCCUGGACCAACCUUUCCGAAAGAUCAGCCAGGUCACAGUGAGGGUCAAAGCAGGAGGCCACUGGAGGCUCCAAGGGCUCUGAAAUGUUGAGAACUUCCCUGCAGGUACCAGCGAAGAGGGCAAGAACACAGCACUACUUCCUUGGAUACUGUUUCCCUCCUCAGAGGGGUUUUCUGAGCUGCCCUGGGUCCUGUGAGGAAGGCAGAAGUCCUAGCAGAGUAUGCCCACGCUGGUUAGUGCUGCUGCAAAGAUGAGCCGAAGACCAUGAGAGACCUCCAGGUGGUCCUUCUGGGGAGAAGAAAUGGGUUUUGGCCCCAAAUCCUUCUGCUGCAUUUUUCCCCUAUCCCUGGGAAGCCAUGAGACCUCAAACCUGUGUUCCCAAGGAGGCGAGCUGCUGUUCCCAGGUGAUGAUAUGAUGUGCUUGGGGAAAGUAAGUGGCUGCCAGACAUGGCUGAGAGCUGUUGUCACUGCCGUCAAGUGCAUGUCUCCAAGCCAUAUCACACGGCGUCCCUCGAUGUGAGGCCACAUGGCAAGUGGGCCGUGGAUCUCCCUCUGCCCUUUGCAAGCACGUAAGACAGCAGAUUUUGCAGAUACCUUGUGGCGCAGGGGAAUUUCCUUUGGCCAGGUCUGAAGAAAUAAAGCAGCAGGCACCGAGAACAAAGCCAAGGCUUUCAAAAGACAAGGAGCCAAAAAACUUACUCAAAAUAAAAGUAGUUUUAAAAUGUC
Long non-coding RNA from Homo sapiens (human), 894 nucleotides. The record is from Ensembl. NCBI's taxonomy places the organism in Eukaryota, Metazoa, Chordata, Mammalia, Primates, Hominidae.